Molecule: ribosomal RNA, 516 nt
Filed under: Triticum aestivum (bread wheat)
Lineage: Eukaryota; Viridiplantae; Streptophyta; Magnoliopsida; Poales; Poaceae
Description: partial small subunit ribosomal RNA
Source: RNAcentral
AUGUGGGCUAUGUUUCACAAAAUUGAUGCCAUUGUAUUCAUAUUCAAAAUUAGUCAUGAUUGUUAUUUGGUACUCCGCCAAGGCGACCCUUUGUCGCUGAUGCUCUUUGUGAUUUUCAUUGACGUCCUGAACACUUUGAUUCAGCGGGUAGUCAAAGACGGGUUCCUGCAGUGCCUCACCAACCAUCAUAUUGCCUUGAGCGUUUCCCUCUUUGCCAAUGACAUUGUCAUCUUCUGUCACCUAGACAAUCAGGAUCAUGGCACGAUACAUGAGCUGCUUCGUUUAUUUCUCGAUGUGCUCCACUGCACCGACCCAAUGCCAGCCUGCGGCAAUGAGGCCAUCGGUGACGGCCUGUCCUGCCCCAUAACCAAUUUCCCCAUCCCAUAUCUAGGGCUGCCGCUGUCAGUUCGGCAAAUUCCAUCAUCCACUCUCCAAGCGCUGGUUGAUCGGAUCGCAGGGAAGUUCACUACCUGGCGGGCAGGAUGUCGAAAAGGGGUAAAGCUUGUGCUGGUCUGA